Molecule: ribosomal RNA, 902 nt
Filed under: Staphylococcus epidermidis
Lineage: Bacteria; Bacillati; Bacillota; Bacilli; Caryophanales; Staphylococcaceae
Description: bacterial LSU rRNA
Rfam family: Bacterial large subunit ribosomal RNA
Source: RNAcentral
AGAUUAAGUUAUUAAGGGCGCACGGUGGAUGCCUUGGCACUAGAAGCCGAUGAAGGACGUUACUAACGACGAUAUGCUUUGGGUAGCUGUAAGUAAGCGUUGAUCCAGAGAUUUCCGAAUGGGGGAACCCAGCAUGAGUUAUGUCAUGUUAUCGACAUGUGAAUUCAUAGCAUGUCAGAAGGCAGACCCGGAGAACUGAAACAUCUUAGUACCCGGAGGAAGAGAAAGAAAAAUCGAUUCCCUGAGUAGCGGCGAGCGAAACGGGAAUAGCCCAAACCAACAAGCUUGCUUGUUGGGGUUGUAGGACACUCUAUACGGAGUUACAAAAGAACAUGUUAGACGAAUCAUCUGGAAAGAUGAAUCAAAGAAGGUAAUAAUCCUGUAGUCGAAAACAUAUUCUCUCUUGAGUGGAUCCUGAGUACGACGGAGCACGUGAAAUUCCGUCGGAAUCUGGGAGGACCAUCUCCUAAGGCUAAAUACUCUCUAGUGACCGAUAGUGAACCAGUACCGUGAGGGAAAGGUGAAAAGUACCCCGGAAGGGGAGUGAAAGAGAACUUGAAACCGUGUGCUUACAAGUAGUCAGAGCCCGUUAAUGGGUGAUGGCGUGCCUUUUGUAGAAUGAACCGGCGAGUUACGAUCUGAUGCAAGGUUAAGCAGCAAAUGUGGAGCCGCAGCGAAAGCGAGUCUGAAUAGGGCGUUGAGUAUUUGGUCGUAGACCCGAAACCAGGUGAUCUACCCUUGGUCAGGUUGAAGUUCAGGUAACACUGAAUGGAGGACCGAACCGACUUACGUUGAAAAGUGAGCGGAUGAACUGAGGGUAGCGGAGAAAUUCCAAUCGAACUUGGAGAUAGCUGGUUCUCUCCGAAAUAGCUUUAGGGCUAGCCUCAAGUGAUGAUUAUUGG